Long non-coding RNA from Ruditapes philippinarum (Manila clam), 1923 nucleotides. RefSeq lists it as uncharacterized. The record is from RefSeq and is a predicted model, not a curated record. The transcript has 2 exons. Lineage: Eukaryota; Metazoa; Mollusca; Bivalvia; Venerida; Veneridae.
UUGACCUACAGUCGUCAUAUUUGGCAUGGAGGUUAGUCAUGAUAAGUAGAUGACCCCUAUUGAUUUUUGAGGUCACUAGGUCAAAGGUCAAGGUCACAGGGGCCUUGACUUCAAAAAGCUUGUCCGCCCAAUAACUUAAGAUUCCUUUGACCCUUAGUCUUCAUAUUUGGCAUGGAGGUUAGUCAUGAUUAGUAGAUGACCCCUAUUGAUUUUGAGGUCACUAGGUCAAAGGUCAAGGUCACAGGGGCCUUGACUUCAAAAAGCUUGUCCGCCCAAUAACUUAAGAUUCCUUUGACCUACAGUCGUCAUAUUUGGCAUGGAGGUUAGUCAUGAUAAGUAGAUGACCCCUAUUGAUUUUGAGGUCACUAGGUCAAAGGUCAAGGUCACAGGGGCCUUGACUUCAAAAAGCUUGUCCGCCCAAUAACUUAAGAUUCCUUUGACCCUUAGCCUUCAUAUUUGGCAUGAAGGUUAGUCAUGAUUAGUAGAUGACCCCUAUUGAUUUUGAGGUCACUAGGUCAAAGGUCAAGGUCACAGGGGCCUUGACUUCAAAAAGCUUGUCCGCCCAAUAACUUAAGAUUCCUUUGACCUACAGUCGUCAUAUUUGGCAUGGAGGUUAGUCAUGAUAAGUAGAUGACCCCUAUUGAUUUUGAGGUCACUAGGUCAAAGGUCAAGGUCACAGGGGCCUUGACUUCAAAAAGCUUGUCCGCCCAAUAACUUAAGAUUCCUUUGACCUUACAGUCUUCAUAUUUGGCAUGGAGGUUAGUCAUGAUUAGUAGAUGACCCCUAUUGAUUUUGAGGUCACUAGGUCAAAGGUCAAGGUCACAGGGGCCUUGACUUCAAAAAGCUUGUCCGCCCAAUAACUUAAGAUUCCUUUGACCUACAGUCGUCAUAUUUGGCAUGGAGGUUAGUCAUGAUAAGUAGAUGACCCCUAUUGAUUUUGAGGUCACUAGGUCAAAGGUCAAGGUCACAGGGCCUUGACUUAAAAAAGCUUGUCCGCCCAAUAACUUAAGAUUCCUUUGACCUUAGUCUUCAUAUUUGGCAUGGAGGUUAGUCAUGAUUAGUAGAUGACCCUAUUGAUUUUGAGGUCACUAGGUCAAAGGUCAAGGUCACAGGGGCCUUGACUUAAAAAAGCUUGUCCGCCAAUAACUUAAGAUUCCUUUGACCCUUAGUCUUUAUAUUUGGCAUGGAGGUUAGUCAUGAUUAGUAGAUGACCCCUAUUGAUUUUGAGGUCACCAGGUCAAAGGUCAAGGUCACAGGGGCCUUGACUUCAAAAAGCUUGUCGCGCCAAUAACUUAAGAUUCCUUUGACCUACAGUCGCCAUUUUGGCAUGGAGGUUAGUCAUGAUCAGUAGAUGACCUCUAUUGAUUUUGAGGUCACCAGGUCAAAGGUCAAGGUCACAGGGACUUUGACUUCAAAAACGUUAUCUGCCCAAUAACUUUAGAUUCCUUUGACCCACAGUCUUCAUAUUUGACAUGAUGUUGAUCAUGAUUAGUAGAUGACCCCUUUUGAUUUUGAGGUCACUGGAUCAAAGGUCAAGGUCAUAGGGACUUCAAAAAAGUUUGUCCACCCAUUAACUUAAGAUUCCUUUGACCCACAGUCUUCAUAUUUGGUAUGGAUGUUGAUCAUGACUAUAAGGUGACCCCUAUUGAUUUUGAGGUCACUGGGUCAAAGGUCAAGGUCACAGGGACCUUGACAAAAAAAAAGCUUUUCUUCUCAAUUGCUAAAGAAUGUCCUGUCCGCAAUGUAUUGAUUUUGACAUUUUCACAUUUGAAGCAUGUAGAAUACAUAACUUAGCAAUGCACUGGCUUAGUCACCUCAGAUUUGGCAGGGAGGUUGUCCUUGAGCUCUAAAUGGCCACUGUUGAUUCUGACAAAGUGGUAUGCGGGGGUAUUCACGCCAUGAUAGUGGCAGUUCUAGUUGUUA